Mangifera indica (mango) is the source of this 422-nucleotide long non-coding RNA. RefSeq lists it as uncharacterized. Lineage: Eukaryota; Viridiplantae; Streptophyta; Magnoliopsida; Sapindales; Anacardiaceae. The record is from RefSeq and is a predicted model, not a curated record. The transcript has 2 exons.
UUGUUUGCACUUGGUCAUUGUAAUAGAUUGCCUUACACUGACGAUUGUAAGGCCAUUUCAUGCUUAUAUUGUACAUUUUCCCCCUUUCAGUCGGUUGCCUGAGCAUGUUACAUUACUGGCUUGUUUCGAAGGGGAGCCAGCACCAAUUAAAUCUGCAGUGACAAAAGCAGUUGCAGAGUUCCGUCGGACUCAUAUUGAUACAUAGAACCUACAGAAAGAUUCAUUUACAGAAGAACAACUUGAGAUUUUGGUGGAGACAUCCUCCGCGUAUUUUGCUUGACCUAUAUUAGUUGUAAGACAAAGAUGUAAUAGAAACACAAUGAUUGAGAGUAGAGUGAGAAAAAUGUUAUUUUCAGAGUAAAUUCUAUCAUAAUUUGUAAAUAAAUUUUAUUUACACCUAUAUAUUCUCUAUUUGAGGUUGA